ACAAAGUGAGCGUUCAGUUGUCGCUUGUGGUGACAUUCCAACAAAACAGAAAUGUCAUAAGAAAAACACAGGUUGAAAAAAAACAUUGAAAAGAUUUAAAUUUAAAAACCAAAAGAAGGAUAAUUAUAAUUCAUAUAAUAAAAAUGUAGGAUUUUGUUGAAAUUGACCCAGAAACUUGUUUGUACAUAAUAAAAAUAAUAAUAAUGUUCCCAUAAGUUUUGUUUUAUGCCAUUAUUGUUCAUUCCUCAUAUUAAUAUUGUUGUGUCCCAAAAUCUCAGCAAUUAAUCUGGAUUCUAAUGUGGCAUUUACCAAAGGAAAUGACGCAACUAUAAACCAAAGCCUGAAACACUCUUCUUGUUUUGAUCUCUGUGACGAAUCAAAUUGUUUUUUUGACUUAGAGUAAACUGUCUUUAUCUGCGACAUUAUGCUUCGUUAAACAUUUAGAAACGUGUCCAUUAUUUCAUUUGUUUAUUCUUGUGAGCAGGGUCACGCGCUGGGACAUUACAUUUGGAAACCUGUCCUGGGCACGUUUGCACCUUUACGCACAAAAUGAACUGAGUAGAUCUGCAAAAAUUGAAGACUGGAGCUGAGACCAGUUGUGUCACUGUGAAUGGAAACUCAGACUCGGUCUGGUUGGUUGAUGGCUGAACUUUAUCAAUAAGAUUCUUUUCCAGCCAAAUGACUAUAAGCUGCUGAUUCCACCUAAAUCACUAUGUUAGACUAAGCUUAGACCUUUGUUCCUUGGGGGACACGUUGCCCUCUGACGAUCCGACCUGGAGCGUUGCCACGAGCUGUGGUUUGUUCCUAUGCUGGCUGCCCUCCUGUGUGGUAGAAACACUUAUAAAACUGUCUGUCGGACCUCAAGUGUUGUUUGGUUUCUGAGGACUUAUUUUGUUUCUGUUUUUAAGGUUCAUUGUACAUUUAUUUUUAUUUUAGAGAAAUGCUUUGCAGUGGUUCAAAACUUAAACACCUUUUGGGUCUUGAAGACAUUUCAUCCUUAGACGACAGACAUGUCCCUCAGCAGAACAGGACCUAGAGCACCCUCCACUGUGCAUAGAUGCCCAUCUAAGAAUCAACGAACCAAUGACGCCACCGGGUUCAUACCUGCUGCUCCAGCCUGAUUAGAUGACACUUGUGAGGUGGAAGGUGAAGCACACAGCACAAAAAACCACCUGCCUUAUUCAGGUUCAAGCACAUAAUCAUGUUUGAUAAUUUAGAUGGGUUACUUGUUCAGCAUUUUAAGCGAGACUUGAAAACUUCUAUUAAAAUAGAUAUUUAGAUAAAUAGAUAUAAAUGAAUGUCAGUUUGAAUUUCAUUUAUAUUUGUACAGCACAUAUAGGUAUUAUUCUAAUAAUGUGUAAAUAUUUUAUAGCAAUAAUAGAAUUUAAAGGUCAUGUAAAAGAAAUCAUGUAACAAGUCACAUAAAAUGUAAAAUAUUUUUGUAUGUAGUGAUGUAGAAGUAAGUUGCAUUCUUUCUCACGUGAAAACGGAAGGUUCAAUUAAGCUGAACUGGAUAUAAACAGUGCAGAACAAUCUUUGGUCCUUUAAGAGUGUGAACAUGUCACAUUUGCAGAAUUUAUGUGAUGGUUUUCUGUCAGGCGUAAGUGUCAGUUAAGUAAGUAAAUACUCCUUAAGGCUUUGUUCAGACAGAAGACAGCUGUUAAUGAGCGAUGACGACGGCUCACGCAACAAAAGUAUGUCCAACGUAUUAACACGUACGUUUGACUGUCCUCUACUGGAGAAACCCAAAUCUGGUGACAACAGGCUAGAUUAUUACUAAAUGAUAAUAAUAGUGGCAAAUGUGUGAAUGUUAUAAUAAAAAAGACAGAAAAACACCA
Betta splendens (Siamese fighting fish) is the source of this 1838-nucleotide long non-coding RNA. The record is from Ensembl. Lineage: Eukaryota; Metazoa; Chordata; Actinopteri; Anabantiformes; Osphronemidae.